GAUGAACGCUAGCUACAGGCUUAACACAUGCAAGUCGAGGGGCAGCAUGAACUUAGCUUGCUAAGUUUGAUGGCGACCGGCGCACGGGUGAGUAACACGUAUCCAACCUGCCGAUGACUCGGGGAUAGCCUUUCGAAAGAAAGAUUAAUACCCGAUGGCAUAGUUCUUCCGCAUGGUAGAACUAUUAAAGAAUUUCGGUAUGGGAUGGGGAUGCGUUCCAUUAGUUAGUUGGCGGGGUAACGGCCCACCAAGACAACGAUGGAUAGGGGUUCUGAGAGGAAGGUCCCCCACAUUGGAACUGAGACACGGUCCAA
This 314-nucleotide ribosomal RNA is filed under the name uncultured bacterium. Its description in RNAcentral is "bacterial SSU rRNA". It matches the Rfam family "Bacterial small subunit ribosomal RNA", at positions 28 to 334 of the family's 1533-position model. The record is from RNAcentral.